Molecule: ribosomal RNA, 482 nt
Filed under: uncultured bacterium
Lineage: Bacteria
Description: partial 16S ribosomal RNA
Rfam family: Bacterial small subunit ribosomal RNA
Source: RNAcentral
AUUGAACGCUGGCGGCAUGCUUUACACAUGCCAGUCGAACGGUAACAGGCCGCAAGGUGCUGACGAGUGGCGAACGGGUGAGUAAUGCAUCGGAACGUGCCCAGUCGUGGGGGAUAACUACUCGAAAGAGUAGCUAAUACCGCAUACGAUCUAUGGAUGAAAGCGGGGGACCGUAAGGCCUCGCGCGAUUGGAGCGGCCGAUGUCAGAUUAGGUAGUUGGUGGGGUAAAGGCUCACCAAGCCAACGAUCUGUAGCUGGUCUGAGAGGACGACCAGCCACACUGGGACUGAGACACGGCCCAGACUCCUACGGGAGGCAGCAGUGGGGAAUUUUGGACAAUGGGCGCAAGCCUGAUCCAGCAAUGCCGCGUGCAGGAAGAAGGCCUUCGGGCUGUAAACUGCUUUUGUACGGAACGAAACGGCUCUGGUUAAUACCCGGGGCUAAUGACGGUACCGUAAGAAUAAGCACCGGCUAACUACGUG